RNAcentral lists this ribosomal RNA (382 nucleotides) under uncultured bacterium. Its description in RNAcentral is "bacterial SSU rRNA". It matches the Rfam family "Bacterial small subunit ribosomal RNA", at positions 29 to 440 of the family's 1533-position model. The record is from RNAcentral.
AACGAACGCUGGCGGCAGGCCUAAUACAUGCAAGUCGAACGCACCGCAAGGUGAGUGGCAGACGGGUGAGUAACGCGUGGGAACCUUCCUAGUAGUACGGAAUAACUCCGGGAAACCGGUGCUAAUACCGUAUAAGCCCUCCGGGGGAAAGAUUUAUCGCUACUAGAUGGGCCCGCGUUGGAUUAGCUUGUUGGUGAGGUAAUGGCUCACCAAGGCUUCGAUCCGUAGCUGGUCUGAGAGGAUGAUCAGCCACACUGGGACUGAGACACGGCCCAGACUCCUACGGGAGGCAGCAGUAGGGAAUAUUGGACAAUGGGCGAAAGCCUGAUCCAGCCAUGCCGCGUGAGUGAAGAAGGCCUUAGGGUUGUAAAGCUCUUUUGGC